RNAcentral lists this ribosomal RNA (192 nucleotides) under Escherichia coli. RNAcentral's name for it is "partial 23S ribosomal RNA". It matches the Rfam family "Bacterial large subunit ribosomal RNA", at positions 2739 to 2925 of the family's 2925-position model. Lineage: Bacteria; Pseudomonadati; Pseudomonadota; Gammaproteobacteria; Enterobacterales; Enterobacteriaceae. RNAcentral also lists the same sequence under 5 other names. The record is from RNAcentral.
UGCCCGGUAGCUAAAUGCGGAAGAGAUAAGUGCUGAAAGCAUCUAAGCACGAAACUUGCCCCGAGAUGAGUUCUCCCUGACUCCUUGAGAGUCCUGAAGGAACGUUGAAGACGACGACGUUGAUAGGCCGGGUGUGUAAGCGCAGCGAUGCGUUGAGCUAACCGGUACUAAUGAACCGUGAGGCUUAACCUU